RNAcentral lists this long non-coding RNA (28195 nucleotides) under Sorghum bicolor (sorghum). RNAcentral describes it as "long non-coding RNA (SBIC_LNC012398)". Lineage: Eukaryota; Viridiplantae; Streptophyta; Magnoliopsida; Poales; Poaceae. The record is from RNAcentral.
UGGAGAACGAUGAAGAACGAACCAGUUGCUGCACAAGUACAAUGUUGAGGAAGAUCCGACAGAUCCGGCUCCUCCUCCGCUCUCCUCUUCUCUCUCCCUAUUUUCUAGAUUACAACUAGAACUAACUAGAACUAGAACUAGAGGAACUAGAACUAGAACUAGAUGAACUAGAACUAGAUCUGGAUGAACUAGAGGUAGAACUAGAAGAACUAGAGGGAUCCUCUCUACUUGGAUGAAGAAUUGAAACCCUAGCUUUGAUUCUGUAGAAGAGGUAUGAUCUCCAGGGGCCAGGGGGUCUGGUUUUAUAGUCCCUUCAAGUGAAUAUGGGCCGUUGGAUCAAACCGACAUUGAUUGAACGGUUAUCCUUGAUCCUUUAGGUCGGUGGAGCAAUAUCCCAAAAGAGAGUCCUGAUUGGACCCUGUAUGAGGGCGGGCGCCCAGGAGAGGAGGGCGAGCGCCCUGUCCUUGAGUCCUCUCGGCCUCCGCUUCGGUCCCGUGGCUUCUAGAGUCUUCUAGAUGAUAGAAAAUUGUGCGGCACGUUAAUAUCUCUAUGUAAACCUGAUGUGUGGGCCUUUCUUCCAUAUUUCCUGAUAACCCCCUGCAGAAAUAGAAAAACACCAAAACUCGUGGAAUUCUAUCAGAUAAAACCCUAAGUCUAGGUGUUGGUUGCAUUUGGAUCCUUUUCCAUGAUUAGUUGAUGGUUAAAUGUGAGCAUUAAGGACCGUCAACAAGCUCCCCCAAGCUUAACCUUUGCUCGUCACUGAGCAAAGAUGAACUCAAGAGUUUCUACAGUGGUUUCAUGCCUUAAAGGUACACAUGCGUUCAAACAAGAUCUCAUCUCUGGGUUAGGGUAAACUGUUAAGAUUUAAACUUACUCAUUUUACCUUUCACCAUGGGACUUGUAACCGUCACUUCUGUCUUGAGUAGUUAAAAGAUAGAACGGUCUAGUCAAGCGUAAUGUCUCUUGUUCUUCGAUUAACUAUAACUCUGGAGUUUUUGCAGAUUUUCAAAUAAAACUCAGAGAUUCCUUGUAUGACUCUCUCUAGUCUCUCUUUUGUGGUAUUUCUGGAUCCUUACCAAGGCAGUAAUGGUAUAUGCCUUCUCUCAAAUUAUGUAGUAUUUUUGGUAUGAGGCAUAGUGGCAUUGCCUUCUCUCUCACCCUACUCUAAUAAGGUUUUAAUAUCUGGAGCUCAUAGGUGGGAGACAACAAAUACAUACUUACAAGACAUUUAUUGCAUAGUCAAACCAUGGAUCUAGAAGAAUAAGUCAAUAAGUCAAAUCAAGAUGUGCAUGUGUGGCGAAUGAAUGGUGAUCACAAUGGUGAUGAUGGUGAUAACAAUGGUGAAAGUCUAAUUCUACGUUUGCUCUUUUGAGGGGAUACAUACCUUUCUUGCACUUUGAAGCUUUUUGAGGGGAAUGAGAUGCUCUAUAUUUUCCUUUUUUUUCUUUUCUCUCAGGUGGGUAUCUUGUACCCCUAAUUCUACUGUCGGACACUUGUCCAUUUUUACCUCUCGUCUCACUUUUUUCUUUUCUUUCGAGGUUCCGGGCACUUGCCCCUUUUUAUUUCCUCGUAUUUUUUUCUUCUUUUUUUUAGAGCACUCAUCUCUUGAAAUAAUGUAGCAAGUGGCAGUAACUAGAUAAAUUGAGCAUUUAUUUCACAGGGGAAAACAGAAAUGUUUUUGGCUAUUCUCUCCCGGAUUAGGAGUAGAAUAUUUUUGGGUGGUUCUGGAGAUGGAAAUGGGUGGAUAUAUGUGGAUGCAUACUUCCAUAGUAGAAGCAACAUGUGUGAGUGAACGUGCAAGUGAAUCUUGAUUUAACCACAUGACAAGCUCCUAAGGGUCUACACAGCUUGACCACACUCAAUGCUCAUAAGCAGUAAAAAAGUAAAUGUAUGGCUCAAAGUCUAGCAAGCAUGUAUAUAUGGCUGUGGUAUGAUUUUAAACUCUCAUCAUACAGGAACUCAUCAUGCAACAUUUUAAAGAUUUUCAGAGAUAAAAUUCUCCAGAAUUCUAGCAUCUCUAGGAACAGAUAAACAGCAGCUCAACCUUCCCAUAUCGUAUCCGUUAACGACUUAGACUUUAGAUCAAGUACUCUUCCCACAAGUUCAGGUUUAGAGCAAAUCUUAAUUAAUAAUAGUCAUGCCUAAACUUAAGAGAGAUUUCAAUUUUGAGAACUAGUCAUGGUAGAGCAACUAUUCAUCAUUUCCAUAUGAGAGCUUAUCAUGCAGGUUCAUAGCAAACUUUAUUUAUUUAUUUAUUUAGCAAACUAAGCAAAGAUAUAUGUAUAUAAGCACAAAAUCUUUAUUUGGGUUUAUAUGAUUAUGCAUCUUUUUAUUAUUAGAGUAAAGUAUAAACGUGAGUAGAAUACUUAGCUAGAUAAAUGGGGGUGCUCUCCCCCAAGCUGGAUUUUGACGUAAUUUCUUUUGAUGUAGCUAGCAGGUGGCGGAGGUGUAUUUGAAUGUCGGCAGCACCCUGACAGCGAUUAGGAUGUCCUCCGUCAGCUAGUCUUCUUUGAUCCUUGAAUUCUGUGGAGCUCAAAUAGACAACAAAGCUUUGUGCAACUGGUUAAGUGUUAGCUUAAAUAUCCAGCCUUUAUCAUGUUGAGCCUCCUAAAUAAAUGUUACUCUCUUUAGUAGGAUCAUUUAUUUUUAUAUAUAUUUUUCAAGAUGAUAUGAACCUGAUUAACUAAGCAAACUAUUUUAAACAAUUUAAAGUAAAAGGAUAACUACCAAGUUUACCUCUUGGCAAGGCGUUCGGUGUUUUUAAGUCCUCCGAACGGAACUCUUCAUUUUCUCAGUCGUCCUGGGAUUCGAUGGAUGGCGUAGUCAGUGGUUCCGGCGGCGCCUUCUCUUCAUGUAUAACUAUCUUCUCUCUCCACACCUGACUUGGUGCUACGUUCUCCUCAAGACAGUUCUGUUCAAGUUGUAUGUCUUCAGACCUUACCACUUUUCCUUCGUAGUCUGCUCAUCCGUCCUUGAUGAUUUUCCUCCUCUGGUUACGGUUGCGUCGUCUUCUUCUUGUCCCGACCUGCUUAGAGUCUUCAACUAUAUAGUUAAGGUUAGUAAAAUAGCGGUGUACCUUCUGAGAGAGGAGGUGCAUGUGGACUUCUCUGGUUCCAAUGUAGAUGAUUGCUUUAACAGAGCUGAGGAACGGUCUUCCAAGGAUGAUGGGUGGAUCGUACUCAUCUUCACCCAUGUCAAUAACCUUCAAAUCAUCUGGAACUGAAUGUAUGUUGAUUAUAGGGGCAUGAUUCCAUGCAGGAGCUGAUAAGUAACUGCGGCCAUUAUGUUGACGUCAGAUCCGGUGUCGUAGAGUGUCUUCUGAAAAGAAUAUCCGUUGAUUGUGCACUCGAUACUUGGAACAUCAGGGUCGUCCUUCCUGAUCAAGAAAGGCGACUUGAGUUGAUGAUCUUGACCUCCUUGAGUUGUAGUGACCAUCUUAGCUGACUCAGUCUACAUUUGCCUGUUCUUGUUCCUCCUUUUGGUCCUUUCCUUGGUUCAUGUCAGGAUUGCUCUGAGAUUUGUGUAGUCUUGUUCUUGAAGGAAAAUGUCUCCUUCUUCAUCUUCAUGUAGAUACUGAUUUUGGCAGCACUAGUGUAGAUGACAGCUCCCGAGGUGUUUAGGAAUGGCCUCCCUAGGAUGAUGGGUGCCCUCUCAUUAGCACCAGUCUCUAUUACCACGAAGUCUGCUGGGCGUACAAGGUACCAACUCGGAUGCAGAGGUUCUUCAAUAUUCCUUUUGGGAAACUUAGCGUCCGAUCUGCAGGCUGCAAACACAUGGUUGUUUCUAGUAAAGGAUGUGUAAAGAAUUUUUUUCAUAGAGUACCCUGGGCAUAAUGUUGACGCUGGAGCCAAAGUCGUAGAGUGCUUCUAGGAAGUCCACCAUGCCGAUGGAGAUCGGGAUGAUGGGGCGUCCUGGAUUGUCUCUCUUGACCGGCAGAAGGUCAGUAAUUACUUCCAUAACGGGGUUACUCCAGUAGUUACGUCCUCAAGCAUCUCAGGGCAGUGAUUGCCUCAGUGUCCAGUAUCUCCAGUGUGUUUGUGCUCAUAGAUCUAGGUUCUUCACUUGGUGGAGUCUGGGAGUUAUAAAAGUCCUUCAUAUUUUGCUCGAAGUGUACCUGCUCAUAGAGACAAGGCAGAGAUCAAGUGCAUGGGCCCUGUUGGUGGAAAACACCAACAGAACCAAAAGUGUAUUUGUUCUCUCUAACCUUAAGCAUAGUGAGCAAGACAAAGUUGAUGGAUAAUAAGAUCAUGAGUGUAGCAUUUAAAACAUUUGUUAGAUCAGAUCGCUCAACCUAAUGGAAAGAUAAUCUAUCUAUACUUAUGUUGUUUUUUUAUAAAAUAUAUCUUCCAAAGAUUGAGUGUGCAACAUUUUAGCUUAUAUGAUUAGGAGUGUAGGAUCACAAAGGUAGUACUAUAAACAAAGAUUAAAGGACUAAACAUGCUGAAUCAGUUGGGUUGGUUAAUUUGGAGUUAUAAAUCAUACAUGUUUGUCUUUUUAUUCAUGUGAACGCCAGAACCAAGGAGAAGCUUAUAAAAGUGAUAGUCAAGUACCUUAAGAUGUUACCUUACUUGAAGAGUGAUGGUACAUUAUCACCUUGUGGAAGCUUUCCUUUCUUAGCGGUUAUGCAUCGUGCUUGUGGCACCCUCCAUGGAUCAUCUCUUGUGAGCUAUGGCUUCCUUGUGUAAAUUGUUAACCUUCAUGCGUCUCUAUCUUUGUCUCCAAUGUGAGUUUAUCUCAGGACUUCCCAGGUCGAUAUUGAAUGUUUUCCUGCAGGGGUUAGUCCAACAAAAUGUCCAAUAUCUACUAUAGCAUACUAUUGGCUCAAAAAUCAACCUAGACACCAUGUCUAAUUUGAUUUAGGAGGGCAUUUUAACCUAAGCACCAUGCUUAAUUUAAAAUCCCUUGGAAAUAAGAUCAUUAUUCCUAAACUAAGCACCAUGCUUAAUUAAGAGAUAAAUGAAACAACUCCAAACCUAGACAUAUACUAAAGCAAAUAAAGGUGGUAUGAGAGCAUUUAUAGAGAUCUACUCAAGUGGAGAUGAAGUAGUGUGAUUAGUAUCCAACAAAUUGAGCAUGUCUCAAAGGUAGGGACAACCAACAUAACAUCAUGGCAAAGGAUGUUUUUAUGUAAAGCACUCCCCCAAGCUUGAAUUUUGCAAAAUUCAAGUUUGGAUGAAUUUAAUUCAAUGUUGUAUGAUGAUUGGUUGGACAUACCUUGUGCUUGUUAUUCAUCCGAUCUUCUUGCUCCAAUCCUGGAAAGGUUAGUGACAAGAAUACCCGAAGGAAUUUUUUUUUUACAAUUAUCCUUAUAUGCUCAAUAUAUAAGGUAAUGUUGCAAAUAAUUAAAAGCUCAUGUUACGAUCUGAUCAGUGCUUAUUUUAGGACAUUAAGCUUGUCCUUGGGAAACAUCAAUUUAUGUCGGCGAAGUGGUUUCCCCUCCAACGCUGACCUAUAUCAAGAUAACUCAACGAGAUCUGCAAUAUUUAUUAUAGACAUAUGCAUCGACAACCGUCCUUUUAAAGUUUUUAUAAAUAGAAAGGAAGAGGGGGUUGGAGAUCUCGAAUGUGGUGAUGUUGGAGAGACCAAUGGAUCGUGAAGAUGUUGCAUAUGAGCAUGGAGUAAACGAAGUGGCUAUGAAAUAAAUUCCAUGCUCAUUAAUGCGGAGAGUGAAAUCCAUGUGGUGUGGUGAAAAUGGUAAGGUGAGUGUGGUAAAAAAGGAAAAGAAAAAGGAUACACAGACGAGUUGGUUCGAAACUAGCACAGCUACCGUUCCCCGGCAACGGCGCCAGAAAGCUUGUUGGGUAUUUUAAACGCAAACAGAAAAAUCCGCAAGCACACGGGUACCGAUGUAGCUUUCACUCGGGAGUAUUCCAGAGUAUCGAUUUUCCACAGAGAACGUGAGUGUACUAAUUAAGAUCCAAGAUCGCCCAAGGAUAACUAUAUAAUUAUUUUUGGUGGGAAGAGAGGAAGUUUCCUCAGAGUUCUCUAGUUGAUCUAAGAAUCAAGAAUUACUUCAAGAUUAUCUAUAUCGGGACAUCAGAGCACUAACCGCAGAAAGAGAUGAGAAGGGGGCUAGGAAGGUCUGACUACGGUCCUACAAACACCGAUCCAAACGUGGUGGAAUACGUCGACCGUUAGGGCUGUCACUACCCUAAGGCUUGGGUGCAAUUCUAGGUAAUUGCAAGACUAAACACCACAUCUAAUCUAUUAAUUACUACUCUAGCGUUAUAAAGACUAGAGCACUUGAUGCAAGCGGGAAUCCAAUAAAUAACUUGAAUGUAAAUAAAAGUAAUUAAAGAACUCUGGAAUUGUGAAUUGAAGAACCUGGAGAACGAUGAAGAACGAACCAGUUGCUGCAAAAGUACAAUGUUGAGGAAGAUCCGACAGAUCCGGCUCCUCCUCCGCUCUCCUCUUCUCUCUCCCUAUUUUCUAGAUUACAACUAGAACUAACUAGAACUAGAACUAGAGGAACUAGAACUAGAACUAGAUGAACUAGAACUAGAUCUAGAUGAACUAGAAGUAGAACUAGAAGAACUAGAGGGAUCCUCUCUACUUGGAUGAAGAAUUGAAACCCUAGCUUUGAUUCUGUAGAAGAGGUAUGAUCUCCAGGGGCCAGGGGGUCUGGUUUUAUAGUCCCUUCAAGUGAAUGUGGGCCGUUGGAUCAAACCGACAUUGAUUGAACGGUUAUCCUUGAUCCUUUAGGUCGGUGGAGCAAUAUCCCGAAAGAGAGUCCUGAUUGGACUCUGUAUGAGGGCGGGCGCCCAGGAGAGGAGGGCGGGCACCCUGUCCCUGAGUCCUCUCGGCCUCCGCUUCGGUCCCGUGGCUUCUAGAGAGGUAUGAUGCUUAUGGAUGAUAGAAAAUUGUGCGGCACGUUAAUAUCUCUAUGUAAACCCGACGUGUUGGCCUUUCUUCCAUAUUUCCUGAUAACCCCUGCAGAAAUAGACAAACACCAAAACUCGUGGAAUUCUGUCAGAUAAAACCCUAAGUCCGGGUGUUGGUUGCAUUUGGAUCCUUUUCCAUGAUUAGUUGACGGUUAAAUGUGAGCAUUAAGGACUGUCAACAGAGACAUGGCAACAACGUGAAGAUCGGUAUCGGCGCCAACAGGAGGAUCUUAGAUGGGAAGAGGAAAGACGCCGACAAGAGUGGAAUCGGCAUAAAGAUCACUAGAACUACCCGUUCUUUAUCCAUUGUUGGGAGCAAAACAUCAAACUGCCCACUGUUAGAGACUGCCCAGAGUGCAAUGGUUAUGAUCGGUACGAUAGACCUAAUCGGCAGUAUCAGAACAAUGAUCGAUGUUUUGAUGGGCCGAUUAGGGAAAGUGUAACACCCUAGGUGUUAAGCAUGCACUUAGUCUCAUAAACUCAUCCAUAAGCAUUCUUAUCAAGCAUAGCAUCACAUGAGCAUGUCAUUCAUUCAAGUGUGAUUUUAUGUGUUUUAUUUCAUGAGAAUUAAAUAUAGUAAAAAUAUCAUGCUUGCUCCUAAAUUUCUUGAAAUGCCCAAAAUUAGGUUGAAAUAUGUGUUAGAAGAAUUAAGAGUAAUUUUGUGAAAUUUUUGGAGCUAUAGAAAUUGAGAAAUUGAUUUUAUAUGCAAUUUUCUAUCAUCUAGAUAACUCUAGAAGCCACGGGAACGAACGGGAGGCCGAGCGGGCUCGGGGGCAGGGCGCUCGCCCUCCCCCCUUGGGCGCCCGCCCUGUCCCAGUGUCUAAUCAGGACUCGCUUCGGCGAUUAUGCUCCACCUACCUAAAGGAUCAAUAAUAACCGUUCAAUCAAUGUCGGUUUGAUCCGACGGCCCAGAUUCACUUGAGGGGACUAUAUAAGUAGACCCCCUAGCCCCUGGAGGAGGCACCCCUUGAUCCCUAUUCAUUAUUCAUAGACAGAGCAAAAGCUAGGGUUUGGAGAUGAGAGCUCUCCUCUCUUCUCUAAACUAGAGUAGAUCUAGACAGUAGCGAGAUGGAGAGCAAGGGUGGAUUGGAGGAGAGGCCGGCCUGUCGAUUCUUCCUCUGGUUGUACUUCGCCAUGAUCAAGCUCUAAUCAAGCUUGCUCAUGGGAUGACUCUGGUAAUCUACUUCUAAUUUAUUAUGCAAUUACUAAUCAUGUAUGUUCUGGUUCACAACUCUCUAUUCCCAUAUUAUCACCCAUUGUUAUCUUACCUUUAAUAUUGUUCUUAUUCAAUUCUACCAUAUUUCCUAUUUACACUUAUCUAUCUAUCUUGGUUAAGUUAGAGCGUAGUUGGUUCUCCCGUUUCCCUAUGGAUACGAUAAAACCUUUAACCGGGUAAUGUCGACGAAAGCUAGUCGGCAGUCUACCUUGGGGUAUACCCACGGUAGUAGUUUAUCGGUAGACGGUGCGCAAACUACGAACUCGAUGGUGACGCAAGACACGGACAAGCUUUUUAUCCAGGUUCGGCCGCCGAGUUGGCGUAAUACCUACGUCCUGCGUCUGGUUGUAUUGGAUUGUGUUGAGAGAUAAUGAUGUCCUAGGGGGGUCCCUUGCCCCUCCUUAUAUAGUCUGGAGGGCAGGGUUACAGAUCUGGAAACUAAUCCUAGUCGGUUACAAUUGCCAUAGAUAAUUCGAUAUCAAUUCCUAUUCUAACCGACUAGAAUCCUGCUUGAUCUCCAUGUCUUGUUUCCUUGCGCGAAACUCCGAGCUGUCGGAUCAAGCCUUGAACUUGUCUCGUAGUGGGCCAAGCUUCCUGGCUGAAGUCUAGCCGUAAGGGUAUAGGGGUUUAUACCCCCACAGCUAGUCCCCGAGCACCAUGUAUUGUGAUGCAACACGCCGUCUUGAGCUUCUUCAAUCAGCGAGGCUUGGCGUCUUCAAUAAGUGGGAAGGUCGCCCAAACAGUUGCAACGGUUCCUUGACCAACUCGAAAGACAGUUGAUCAACAUUGACAUCGAAGAAGCAGGUUGUUCGAAGAAUGCAUGGUGCUCUUAAAAAAAAUUUCUUUCCUGGUGAAGUGUGCCCACUUUACCUUUUUGAAAGGUAAAAGCAUCUAAAAAGCAGGCAAAUUCACCGCUAGGUGAAGUGUGCCCACUUAGUCCCCGAGCCUGGUAGUAGGUGACGUAGGCACGUGGUGCCAGGGUCAAAAGAAAAUUCCCAAAGUAGUUUUGAGACUGAGAUGCAUCGCUAGAUGCAUCGUACCGAUGUAGUCCCCGAGCUUGCUGGAAGGCGAAUUAUGAGCCUUGUAGCAAGGUCUAAAGUGAAUUUACCAGUCCCCGAGCAUGUCAUGCUCGCCUGCAAUUGAAAAGACCAAUCGACCAGUCCCCAAGCACUUAGUGUGCUUCUUGGAAUUAUAUGUUGCUAUACUGUACGACCAGUCCCCGAGCGUCGAGUGCUCAGUGGUCGGUGCAUGCUUUAAAGCUUUGAGCUGAUAGACUGAGCGACCAGUCCCCGAGCGUCGAGUGCUCGGUGGUCGGUGCAGUCAUUGAAGUUCCGAGCUGAUAGACUGGGCGACCAGUCUCCGAGCGUCGAGUGCUCGGCGGUCGGUGCAGUCCUUGAAGUUCUGAGUUGAUAGACUGGGCGACCAGUCCCCGAGCGUCGAGUGCUUGGUGGUCGGUGCAGUCCUUGAAGUUCCGAGCUGAUAGACUGGGCGACCAGUCCCCGAGCGUCGAGUGCUCGGUGGUCGGUGUAGUCCCCGGAUUGUUGACUCACUGGCGUAUGUGUCUUCUUACUUUUGAAAAGAUCUUUCUAGUUAAAGUUGACGUGACGAGGUCUCCUGACGAUAUGUCAGACGGAUGCAUGAAAAGUUGCACCUGGCAACUGUACAACCGCUCUUUGCAUGGUUUGAGAAAAGGAAACCAUCAAUUGGUACGAAAACUCCGCCGCAUUAAUUGUCUAUAAUCAUUGUAAACCGAAACGCCGCGUCCGCCGCAUGGCCUGCCCACUUCCCGAGAAUACAGGAAGUGGGAGAGGUGGAGUCGCGGGUUUAUAAGGGCCUAAUAGGUCCGCCUGUACCGCUUCGCCUGCCAUUGCCUUCAAACCUUCCGCUCUCAUCUUCUCCAAUCUCCUGCAUCUUCCUAACUCUAGCCCACAUUCGCACCUCUAAUGGCGAAGAGCGACUCCAGGAAGAGGGCCGAACUGAUGGCCAAGGAGUGGAAGAAGUCUCGCAGCACCACAAAAUCUCUUGGUGACCUCAUCGAUAUGGGGCUUCUGCACGGCGCAGAACUCGGCGGCUGGAGGGCACCGGAGGGGGAGAGCUACCCCGACCCUCGCGCCGGUGAGAUCGUCGUUUUUGAAGAUUUCGUUAAGAGAGGCUUUGGUGUUCCUGUUCAUCCUUUUCUUCAAGGUCUUCUUUUGUACUAUGAGAUCGGGAUUUGCAAUCUGCACCCGAACUCAAUUCUCCUUAUUUCCACCUUCAUCCACAUGUGCGAGGCCUAUGUUGGCAUAGAGCCGCACUUCGAUCUUUUCCGGUAUCUUUUCUGCUUGAGGAAGAAGGGAGCAGUUGGAGGCUCCAAGGUUGCAGGUGGAGUAUACCUCAACCUUCGUGAUGGGAUGAAGAAUCGCUACCUGCACUGCCCAUGGAACACUUCCUUGACCGAAUGGUACAGGAAGUGGUUCUACAUCAGGGAGGAACCGGGCAGCUCCACGUUCUGCGACGUGGGAUACAUUCCUGAGAAGAGGACGAGCUGGACCGACCGCCCGGAGUUCGACGGUCCAGUGGCGGAUCUCAUGAAGCUGAUCGACUGGUCGCGCCUAGACGGGCUUGGCGUGGUCGGCAACUUCAUUUGCCGCCGGGUGAUGCCCUGCCAGAAGAGGGUGCACUCGGCGUACGAGUAUGCCGGAAGCGCAGACCUGACCAGGAUGCGGUCGGAGAUCUUGGAGAAAGCGGAGGUACAACAGCUGUUGAACGAGCUGUUUAACUUCGCGGAUGGGGGCUUCAUCCGUGGCAGUGAUCGGGUGCAAGCCUUCAAGUUAGGACGACCAGCACCAAAGGUAUGUAGCAGAUUCUGUUUGAUCAUUCGUAUAUCGUCUGCAGUUGACUCAUCUCUGUUGCUUUUGCAGGUCGGCGAUGUCGACCGGUGCACAGUGUAUGUAUCACUGGCACCGGGGAUGGAAAAUCCUGCGGGAGAGGUCCCGCCAGAGGAGGACGCUGCUCGGUGUACUCAUUACACCAGCAGUGAGGAAGACCAAGCCCGCCCCGUCCCGACCUCCGAGGAGAGGGUAGCGGGGAAAAGGCCAUUGCCGGCAGAUCCCUUGCCGACACCGGAGCUGCCGGCAGAUCUACCGGCGGAGAGCAGCCAAGCACCGAAGCGUCGUCGUCUCGUGCGGAUCGUCGACGACGACGACGACGAGGAGGCUGCGCCGUCGUUGGUCCGACGGCCUCGGAGCCGCCCAGACACUGCGCCGGUCGCCACUGAUCGAGUGGCCAGCGGCGCCGCUGCCCCGCAAGUUGUCGAGAUGGGGGCACAGGUGCCGACCGGCCGGGCGAGGAGGAGGUUCACCGCGACCCACCGUCGGUCAGACCUGUAAGUGUUCGACUUACGUAUUUUGGACUCCUCUUUUUUUUUUUACCUUUUGUUCCUGUAGUGCGGCAUCGGAUGUCGACCCUGGCCAAACUGCCAGCCAGGGAACGGGCGAGCCUGCCCGCGGUUCUGGGGAUGCGGCCCCCCAGACCACAGAGCAGCCAACAGCUGCAGUCGCGCCUGGGAGCACCGAGGGGCUCCCGAGCGCGGCGCCGACUACAACAAGCAGCCCGACCAGGGCUGGAGAGGCUCCCCCAACGGACUCCUCAGAGAAGGGAAGAUCUCCGACCGCUCCUCCUGCCGGGGGGAGUGAAGUCCCCCCGCCGCCCCGAGCAGGGGCCUCUUCGGCUGCGGGCUCCCCAGGUCUGGUCCAAGGGCCAGUAAUACCUGGGACCACCACCGGGGGUGACGCAGCACAGGAGGAGGAAACCCGGGCGGCCUCCGAUGACGAGGUGGAAGAGAUCGAAGGUCGUCCCCGUGAUGGCCGCCAACACGUGUAUGUGUGGCGCCAACGCGGGGAUCACUUUAUCGGGCAUGAGGAGCUCGCCGAGACCGAAGAGGCCGCCAGGGUGGAGCGCGCGGCCAAGCGCCUCGUCGACGAAGUCAAGGUAAGCGGCUUUUUGUACUGCUGCGCAUUCUUUUGCCUUGUCUUGCAUGGUCGUUAUAUGCUUGCUUUGUAGGACGUAAUGAAAACGGCGAAGUACCGGAAACGGUGCUUUGACCAGAUAGAAGGCGUCAUGGCCGAGAACAAGGCCCUUGCCGCGGAGGUAGACCGGUUGCGGGCGGAGGUCGGGGAGAAGGUGGUCGAGAUGAGUGCCGAAAAGGAGCGUCGUCUCGACCUCGCUCGUCGUUUGGCCGACCAGUACCGGCUGCAAGAAGGUUAGUCACACGCUCCGAGCAGCUUCGCGUACUUGUAUAGUGUGCUUUGCUGACCAGUUUAGGAUUCACGCAGACUUGGAGGAGGAGGUGGCGAGCCUCCGACAAGAGAAGGAGCAGCUCAGCCAACAGCUCGCCGGUGCGCUGGAGUCCGGGCGGCGAGCAGAAGAGGAAUUGGGUCGAAAAGACCGGGAGCUAUCUGGUAAUGGUUGCCGCCUUGUUGGUUGCUGCCUGCCCCUUUGUUUGUUUAGUAUGCCGAAAAUAGCGCUUCGUUUCGUUUGCAGUGCUCAAGGUGAACGCCAAAAAGCACCUGGAUGAUCUGGUCAAGGAUCGGGACUCCUGGAAGGUCAACUGUUGUAGGAUCUGGAAAGGAGUGUCCCCGGUCCUAGACCUCAUCAGUCCCGAGCUCCCGGAGAGCCAGCCCCGCGCGCCGCAAUUGACCCCGGUCGAGAAGGCGCAACGGGCGUGGGACUGGCUCCAGCAGUUCGUGAAGGACGCCGGGGAGUUUGCGGGCGCGCACGUCCUCAGCAUGGUGCGCGCCCACUACCCCCUGGUCGACUUGAGCAGGCUGGAGAAGGGGUACCCGAAGGAAGUCGGCCCACAGGAAGCGGACGAACUCCGGGGUAGUCUGCUGGACUUGUCGUCGACAGUGAUCGGCGACAUCAAUCUGUGCGGAAUGGCCACUCCUCCAGACCAGCCGAGUUCAGAUAGGUCGGCCAGGGAGUUGUCGGGCGCGUCCGUUGCGGGAGAUGGGCGGUCGACGCCUGCGGUCUCGACCAGCCAGGCGCCGGUGGCCCCGACCCCUUCGUCCGGGCAGCAGGGCCAGGCAGGUGAUCAGCCCGAGCAGCUAGGCCAAUAAAGUAGUCUGUAGGAAUAGACUAGUGUCUGCCCGUCAGGGUAUUUAUUGUAAACUUUGUAUGUAAAGUUUGUAAUAAAGUUUGCUUUUUGUCAUGACUGUUGUUUUGAGCGCUGUAAGAAUAUCUGAGUGACGUGUUACCGUAUUUGUCUUGGUUGUCGCUAAGAGCAUCCGUUGCAGGAGUUUUGCCGAGUGCUGUGUGUGACAAGGUAUGGGCCAAAAAUAGAGAAUUUCAUUAUCAAAAAUUAUAAGAUACUUACAAAAGAAAGUCAUUAAAACUUUAUGGAUAGAAACGUCGCAGUUUGUCGAUGUGCCAAGAGUUAGGCACUCGUGUUCCGUCUGGGUAUGCCAAUCUGUAGGACGUAGGUCGUGUGACCUCGGUCACCACGAAGGGUCCUUCCUAGGGAGUGGACAGCUUGUGCAUUCCCUCCUGGCUUGUUUUCCAUCGAAGCACCAGAUCGCCGACCACGAAAGAACGGUCCUUGACAUUCCUGUUGUAGUAUCGCCUGACUGCUGCGAGAUAUUUUGCUGUUCGGAGACACGAAACUAAACGCUUUUCCUCCAUGCAAUUGAUUUCGAGUUCCCUGGCGUUGUCGGCGGUCGCCUGGUCGAAGUGCUCGAUUCUAGGAGAUCCGAAGUGUAUGUCAGACGGCAAGACCGCCUCUGCACCGUACACCAUGAAGUAGGGAGACACCCUUGUGUUUCGACUGGUCUGAGUUCGGAGGCCCCAGACCACUGCCGGCAAUUCUUUCAUCCAUCGACCGGGUGCUCUGUCGUUUUCGGUGUACAACCUUUUCUUUAGGGCGUCAACGAUCAUUCCGUUAGCACGUUCAACUUGACCGUUGGCACGUGGAUGUGCCACUGACACAUAUUUUAUGACUAUGCCUCUGUCAUCGCAGAAAUCCCAAAAAGUGGUGCCAGUAAACUGAGUGCCCAGGUCGGUGAUUAUGCUGUUCGGGAUGCCGAAUCUGUGUAUGAUUUGAUUGAGGAACUCCACAGCCUUCUCGGAGGUUGCCUUGACCAGGGGCAUGUAUUCAAUCCACUUGGAGAACUUGUCGAUUAACACGAAGACAAACUUGAAAUUGCCCGACGCUGGUUUAAAUGGUCCGAUCAUGUCAAGCCCCCAGCAAGCGAAGGGCCAAGACGACGGGAUGGUUUGAAUUUCAUGGGCAGGUACGUGGGUCCUCUUAGCGAAAAACUGACAUCCUUCGCAAUGCCGAACCAGUUUUUCUGCGUCGCCGACCGCGGUUGGCCAAUAAAAACCUGCUCGGAAAGCCUUUCCGACCAGCGUUCUAGAUGCGGCGUGAUUGCCGCAGGAUCCGGCGUGUAUGUCCUCCAAGAGCUUGAUACCAUCAUCUUGGGGUAUGCACUUGAGCAGUACUUCGGAGCUUGCGUUUUUCCGCAUGAGUUUUCCGUCGACCAGGAUGUAGUUCUUUGAUCGUAGGAUGAGGCGCUCGUUCUCUGUUUUGUCCUGAAAGCCUGUCCCGUCUGAUAUGUCUGAUAUGUAUUUGAUGAACGGGGUACGCCAGUCACGCCCACCGGUUGUCGGAGUGGCAUCAUCUAUGAGCAUUGCCUCGGUGUGUUGCUUGUCGACCAGGGGGAGCUUACGCUUGGCUCAUGGAUAUCCUGGACGAAAAUACCCCGCGGGAUUUGGGCCCGAGAUGAGCCUAACUUUGACAACGCAUCUGCUGCUUGGUUCUUAUCCCGGACCACGUGGAUGUACUCUAUGCCAUAGAAGUUAGUUUCCCAUUUGCGAAUUUCUUUGCAGUAGAGAUCCAUCUUCUCGUGGGUUGCGUCCCACUCCUUGUUGAGCUGGUUGAUGACCAAAGCGGAGUCGCCGUAGACAUAGAGGCGCUUGACCCCCAGUUCAACGGCUAGUCGUAUGCCAUGUAAGCAUGCUUCGUAUUCGGCGACGUUGUUUGACGCCGGAAAAAGGAUCCGAAUGACGUAACGGAGUUUGUCCUUGUUGGGUGAUACGAACAAUAUCCCAGCGCCUGCACCGUUGAUGUUCAAGGACCCAUCAAAGAACAUUGACCAGUGGUCUGAGACAUCUGGAACGGAAGGCUCGUUGAGAUCCGUCCAUUCGGCAAUGAAAUCGACCAGGGCUUGAGACUUGACAGUGGUGCGACUCUGGAACUCUAGGGAAAAUGGACAUAAUUCCAUUGCCCAUUUCACGAUUCUGCCAUUGGCGUCUUUAUUGCGCAGGAUGUCCUCGAGAGGAAAGCUGGUUGUCACCAGGACUCGAUGGCCGUCGAAGUAGUGCUUCAGCUUUCUUGACGUUAUCAGGAUGGCGUAUAUAAGCUUCUGUAUUUGUGGGUACCUGGCCUUGGAUUCGUUUAAAACUUCGCUUAUGAAGUAAACGGGUCUCUGGACUUUGAAGACGUGACCUGGUCCAUCUCGCUCGACCACUAUUGCCGUGGAAACAACCCUGUCGGUUGCAGCAAUGUAAAGGAGUAGGUCUUCAUUGGGCUGAGGCGCUGUGAGGACAGGCGGUGAAGUGAGGAAGGUCUUAAGCUGAGUGAACGCAGUGUCGGCUUCCUCUGUCCAAGAGAAUUUUUCUGACGCUUUCAUUAGUUUGAAGAAAGGGAGGCCUUUUUCUCCCAGCCUUGAGAUGAAACGACUGAGGGCGGCCAUGCAUCCGGUUAGCUUCUGAAUAUCCUUGACGUUCUUCGGUGGUCGCAUGUCGAGUACGACUUUGACUUUUGAAGGGUUUGGUCGUAUGCCGUCGCGACUGACGACGUUGCCGAGCAGUAGACCGGAAGGAACGCCGAAAAUGCAUUUCUUGGGGUUGAGCUUCCACUUGUACCUAUUGAGUGCCUUGAAGGUUCGGUCUAAGUUGUCGAUUAGGGUGCUCGCGUCCCUUGUUUUUACGACCACGUCGUCCACAUAGGCCUCGACGAGGUCAUCGCGAAUCUCGUCGUGGAGGCAUUGCUGGAUGGCCCUUUGAUAAGUGGCCCCGGCGUUUUUAAGUCCGAAAGACAUGGUAGUGUAACAGUAUGCGCCGAAGGGUGUGAUGAAGGAUGUUUUGAUCUGAUCUUCUUCCUUUAACGAGAUCUGGUGAUAACCAGAGUAGCAAUCUAGAAAGGAGAGGAGUUCGCAUCCGGCCGUUGAGUCGACCACCUCGUCGAUGCGAGGAAGACCAAAAGGAUCUUUAGGACAGUGUUUGUUGAGAUCGGUGUAAUCAACGCACAUUCUCCAUUCAUUAUUCUUUUUGCGUACAAGAACCGGAUUGGCGAGCCAAUCGGGAUGAUACACUUCUUUUAUGAAUCCGGCUGCUAGAAGCCGUGUUAUUUCUGUCCUAAUAGCCUCCUUUUUGUCACGAGCGAACCGUCGCAGUUUUUGCUUGAUUGGUCUUGCGGUCUUCGAGACAUUUAAGGAGUGCUCGAUCAGGUUUCGUGGGACACCGGGCAUGUCUGCGGGUUUCCAUGCGAAAACGCUCACGUUGUCCCUUAGAAACCUGACGAGCGCGUCUUCCUAUUUUGGAUCCAGGUUAGCCCCGAUGAGGGCUGUCUUCUCGGGGUUGCCUUCGACCAGCUGCACUUCUUUGUACUCCUUGGAUUUCGAAUUCUUUCUGGCUGUCUCCUGCUCAGGUAAUCGGAGCUGGUCGGGAGGCAGCUGUGCGGCUUGGUUUGCUGUUUCCGCCAUGCGGAUUGAGAGGUCAAUUGCCUCGGUGAUCUUGAAGCUUUCUUCUUCGCAGGUGUACGCAGUGUAGACGUUGCCUCUGACGGUUAGGACACCCUUCUCCGUGGGCAUCUUAAGGACUAGGUAUGAGUAGUGCGGGACUGCCAUGAACUUUGUCAGCGAUGGGCGGCCCAGUAUGGCGUGGUAGGUCCCGUCGAAGUCCGCGACUACGAAGUUGAUGAACUCCGUCCGGAAGUGAUCGGGUGUGCCGAAUUGGACAGGCAAUGUUAUUUGUCCGAGGGGCACCGAACUUUGACCUGGCAAAACCCCCCAGAAUUGGGCGUCGUAAGGUUUUAGUUGCGCCGGUGAUAUCUUGAGGGCGGGCAGGCUGUUGCGGAAGAGGAUGUCGAUGGAGCUUCCCCCGUCCACGAGCACGCGCUCGAAUCUGAUGCUAUUGAUGCAGGGAUCAAGAAUCAGUGGGAAACGACCCGGCUCUAGGAUAGCGGCCCACUGGUCCUUCCUGCUGAACGAGAUCUCCCUGUGGGACCACGCGGGAAAUUUCGGAUCUGCGAUCAGCCCGUCCGUGCUGUCUAUGUUGAGGCAGGCUCUCUUUAACAGCUUUCUUUCUCGCUUGGACUCAGUGGAGACCUUGCCCCCGAAAAUGGAGUGGACCACGUCGGUGGGGCUGACGUAUUGGUGUCGGGGGUCCCUGUCUUGGUCCUCAUCCUCAUCUUCGUGGUCGUGCCCGUCGCGCUUGUUAUUUUUCUUGGCGGAGUCCUCUUGGGCAGCCCGCCGUGUAUAGAUACUUUUGAGGACGCGGCACUCUUCCAUGGUAUGGUUAGACUUUGGGUGUAGCUGGCACGGUCCCUUCAACGUUUUGUUGUAGUCGUCUUGGUAGUCCCGUCGUCCAUUGGGACGUUUGACCGUAUUUACUUCAUGGUCGUAUUCGCGAGGGCGCUUUCCUCUGAAGUCAUCGCGGCUGUCGCGCCGCCGAUCCCAACCCUCUCGGUGAUCGCGGUUGUCGGAGCGGCGGUGAUUUCUGUUGUCGUAGCGACCACGACCGUCAUCUCGCCGGGAGGGCUGGUCGGGGCCUCUCGCAUCGUCUCGGAUUAGUUUUUCUGCGUCAUCAGCAUCGGCGUAAUUUUUAGCCGUGGCGAGGAGCUCUGCUACCGUUGAUGGGCGCUUACGCAACAGCUUGUUCCUCAGCGCUUCAUGGAAACGCAAGCCCUUGAUAAAGGCUGAUAUGGCCUCGUCAUGAGAAAUUUUCGGGAUUUUGAGGCGCAUAUCCGAGAAUCGUCGGAUGUAAUCGUGCAGAGGUUCAUUCUUCCUGUCUCUUAUCCUUUCAAGGUCAUACUUGUUUCCGGGCUGCUCGCAUGUGGCGAUGAAGUUGUCGAUGAAAGCCUGUCGUAGCUCUUCCCAAGAGUCGAAGGAGUCCUCGGGCAAGCCGAGAAGCCACUGAUGACCAGCCUGGUCGAGGACUACGGCGAAGUAGUUAGCCAUGACGUGCUCAUCUCCUGCCGCUGAUCGGACGGCGAUUUCAUAGAGAGUGAUCCAGUUCUCUGGAUUUUCCAUGCCGUCGUAUUUUUUAAGUUUUUCGAGUUUGAAAUUGCGGGGCCACACGACCUGGCGGAGGUGUGAGGAGAACUGCCUUAGGCCCGGAGGACCGUGAGUUGCAUCGUACUCGAUGCGGCGCAGGUUUUCGUGGGCUGCCCUCUCUGCGGCGCGCCUGUUGAUGCGGUCCCGGGCAUCUUUGGGAGGGAUGUUGUGGCGGAGAUCCCUGUGUUGAUUUUCUUCUUGGCCACGUGCGCGGUUCUGCUGGCGGCGGCCAUCGGCGUCCCGACCACCAUCGUCGCGCCGUGAGUCCCCUCGACAGUUGUCGGGGGAGCGGCUGCGGUGACGCCUGCUGGGUGAGGCCCGGCUACGAUUAGUCUGGUCGGAGGCGGCUUCCGUAUAAGAAACGUCCUGGACUCUCUUGAGCAGAGUGGCUGUCUGUCCCAUUGCGGCGAUCAGGUGUGCUCGGAUGCUGGUCCGGACUCCCUGGCAUUCGGGGGUGUCAGGAAGCCGAUCCAGGUUGGCCAUGGCGACAGCGACGUUGGCGCUUGGCGUUUUGUAGACCGGCUGGUCCCCGACCAUGUCAAAGGCAUCGUUGAGGUUACUUGGUUGCAUCUGUUGUUGCUCGUCCGCACGCCGUCGGGCGCGAUCGGCGUUACGCUGUUCGCGGAGUUGCCUUUGGUCAUCUGUUUCUCCGUCAACAGCCGGUUCGUCGGCGCUGACAUUGAACACAAUAUCCCCUUGCCGGGGGGGGAAUAUCGGGAAUCGGUCUAAACCCGGAGGGUGUGAAGGAAAAUCCAGGUCGUAGCCCUCAUCUUCGGUGUUUAUAACCUCGGUGGGGACGGAGCCGGUGCUUGAGUUGGUGCUGGAAACCUGGCCGUCCCGUAGCUCUCGGAUUGUCACCAUGUUGACAUGGUGACGAUUGUUCCUUGUCGGCGACCAGCCCGCUUUGCUGAAAACGGAUUGGACAUGCUGUGAGUAAACAGAGGCCGAGUUGUUCAGGCCGCAAGGAUAGUCUUCCUUUUUGAGCUCGACGGAUCGUCCUGAGGGGGUUGAGGUUAUCGUCAGGGACGUUCCCAGCCGUUCGUGUGUGGCGACACGAGUUGGCCGGCGGGAUUUCGAAAAAUCCGCUCGAGCAGCUUGGUCGGGCCGGCGCAGAACUCCAUCUAUUAGUUGGGAGACUUCGAGUUGCUUGGAGUCAGCGCGAUCGAGCGCUUGGAGGAGGUCCGAGCAGUCGAUCUCCUUUCCCUUGUAGAGUGGGAACGGUGGUCGGGAGCUUGGUGCCGUCAUGCGAGUGGUCGGAGACGGCGUGAUCUCAGAUUGGAUCUGGAUCUCUUUCGGAACCGUGGUCGCGAAGCCGCCGCUGCACGUCGUCCACGUGACCUGGCCGACGGUGAACGUGAGGCCUUCGGGCACGGUCGCGGAAGCUGGGAUCGUGACCAUCUUGUUCGCUGGAAAAGUUGCACGCACACCCCCUACCUGGCGCGCCACUGUCGACGAAAGCUAGUCGGCAGUCUACCUUGGGGUAUACCCACGGUAGUAGUUUAUCGGUAGACGGUGCGCAAACUACGAACUCGAUGGUGACGCAAGACACGGACAAGCUUUUUAUCCAGGUUCGGCCGCCGAGUUGGCGUAAUACCUACGUCCUGCGUCUGGUUGUAUUGGAUUGUGUUGAGAGAUAAUGAUGUCCUAGGGGGGUCCCUUGCCCCUCCUUAUAUAGUCUGGAGGGCAGGGUUACAGAUCUGGAAACUAAUCCUAGUCGGUUACAAUUGCCAUAGAUAAUUCGAUAUCAAUUCCUAUUCUAACCGACUAGAAUCCUGCUUGAUCUCCACGUCUUGUUUCCUUGCGCGAAACUCCGAGCUGUCGGAUCAAGCCUUGAACUUGUCUCGUAGUGGGCCAAGCUUCCUGGCUGAAGUCUAGCCGUAAGGGUAUAGGGGUUUAUACCCCCACAGGUAAAAGCUACAACGGUAUCCGUGAGCUUGCGGAUUAUCUGUGUGCAUAUAAAUACCAUAGUACACUCUAGUGCCAUGCUGGGGAUGACAACCUAGUAUUCAAGUGGUGUUAGCAAGUGUCAACAGUGAGCACUUGACAUGAGCCCUGUCCUCGUAGUAAGGACUAUGGAACACUUGGGUUAUGAUGAUAAAUGAUUUAUGAAUGCUAUGAUGAGGUACCAUCAUAUUACUACACUUGUUUGGAAUAGUACAGGUGCAAACCUAGAUAAUAGGUAAUGAUGAUAUCGAACUUGAGCUAAUUAAAGAAGAAAGGUUAUUAGACUAUGUUUUAGUGGAGUAAUGCUCUUAUGCAAAAAGUCUCAGCUACCCCACCAUACAGCCUACAUGAUCCUUGAAGAGUCUUUAUUUUGGUUUAUAACGGGUAAGUCUAGGUGAGUACAUUCUCGUACUCAGGGUUCUAUUCCCAUGUUGUUUUGCAGAUGGGCAAAUGUACUAUGGUUAUUGCAUCCUCUGCUUGUACCCAGCAAUGGGCGAUGACUAGACCAAGGGCGAUGGUCACUCUACCCUCUCUUUUGCUUUUGUGGGAAUGAUCAACUAUGGCACUGUAUCAGACUAAAUGUGUGUGUGUUAUUUUCGAACUAUGAAGCUUCCGCUACUUGAGAACUUGGUUUGUAAUAACUUUAAGUACUCCGAUGUAUUUGAUGAAUGUUGUGAAUUGGAUGUAAUUGUGAAUGGUGACCUCUGAACUUAUUACGAUCUUGGCUGUACGUACGAUUUGUGGUUUGAAAACCUUUGAGAUUUCACGGACUACCGGGAUUAUAUGGGUUUAAGCUCGGUGGUUUGACUGUGCAAAUGGUCACUAUCAGGCUUAAUCUCUUAUAAUUUGGGCGGUUCUGUUACAGCUGGUAUCGGAGCAAGGUUUAGCGAGUUACUGUUCAUAAGUACGUCCUAAACUAAACUUAAACCGGUUUAAUAAAAGGUUAUUAUCAAUUAAUGAUAAUCAAGGUGUUAAAAUGAGUUUUUGGAAAACUAUCUAGUGUGCCAUGGUCAUAUCCUUUAUGCCCAGUUAAGGACCUAAGGUGGCUAGUUAUGUACUGACUUGGGGGUUAUGCAUCAUAUUUCUAUUUCGUCACUCAUACACCGUGUAAUAGUAUGAGUGCCAUUCAUUUGAGUGGUAAUGUAUGGAUCAAUUAUUCCUCUAUGCCUUGGUAAGUGGGAGCUGUGAGAGCAUGGUCAGAUACACUGCCGAUCUAGGGAAGUGAUUUAGGUGCUGUGUCAUGCACACAUGUUUGGUGUUCCCGGGAACAGUACCGUAUGUUGGGAGAUUCUGUCUUGAGAGGCGAUGCCGUCACUAGGGUGAUGAUGUGGGUAGUAACACGCCAUAUUCAUGUACGCGGUGUCUAUGUGUGCGGGGUGUAUAGCUUUAAAUUCUUGUUUUGCAUGUUCAUACUGUGGUUGGGCUGAAAUGAGUUUUCUGCAGGUACACUAACUACGUUCUCGCCUAGAACGCUAGUUACGUUAUGAGAGAACUUUGUGUGCCACCACAUAUACCGAUUAAUGUUAACUUUUGAUUCUGAGUUUGUGAGAUCGUAAGUUCAUGCAUGCAUCAUGUUCAUUCCAUAUCAUUGCUUACUUCCUCCCCUUAAUUAAAUCUGUCCCACUUUCAAUAAAGAUAACAAAAGAUAAUCCUCAAUCUUACCCAAGGUAUUCUAUUUUCUGCAGAUGGCACGCACUAGGCUCACCGCUCGCAAGUCCACUGGUGGGUGGGCCCCUCGCCAUCAGUUGGCAGCCAGGAGCUCGCGUCAUAAGAGCAAGUUCCUAGAGGAGUUUGGGAUGCCCACCUUGCUUUGGAGGGUGCUUAGCUCGAUGGGGUAUCCCGAAGGAAGGGAACCUCGCUACUAUUGGAACAAGGAGUUGCUUGGUGACGGGACCCUGGUUGGGAUCGAGGCAGUGGUCCCUACCAGUGGAGGUGACCCCGCCUGGGGCGGCUGGGUGUACGAGUCUCGAGGUACCACGCCUUUCUAGGGUGCCAGCAGAGCAGCUUUCGCAGUUCUGAGGGACAUCAUGGAGAGGUUUCCACAGGAGCUGGCCCACGCCUUUGCUGGGGUGUUUCCCCGGGGUGACCCCUGUUGACGGUCCUUAAGUACCAAAUAUUAUCAUCAAAUAAAUAAAGAAAAGGAUCAAAAUGCAACCAACACCUAGACUUAGGGGUUUUAUCUGAUAGAAUUCCACGAGUUUUGGUGUUUGUCUAUUUCUGCAGGGGGUUAUCAGGAAAUACGGUAGAAAGCCCCACACGUCAGGUUUACAUAGAGAUAUUAACAUGCCGCGCAAUUUUCUAUCAUCUAGAAGACUCCAGAAGCCACGGGAACGAACGGGAAGGCGAAUGGGCACGAGGGCAGGGCGCCCGCCCACCCCCCUUGGGCACCCGCCCUGACCUGGAUUCGUUUUAGAACUCUUUUCGGGGACCAAGCUCCACUGACCUAACGGAUGAAGGAUAACCAUUCAAUCAAUAUCAGUUUGAUCCAACGGCCCAUAUUCACUCGAGGGGACUAUAAAACCAGACCCUCUGGCCCCUGGAGGAGACAAGUUCAUCAUAGAGUUGAGAGGAGCCCCGAAGGAAUACCUCUCCUCUAAAUAAAUAUUUAUUUUAGGCUUAGCAUCCAAUGUGAGUAGAAUUAGAUCUUCUAGUUUCUAAUAGAUUGAGAGAUAUAGAUUGGAGGUGUAGAUCGGAGUAAGCCCGGCCUGUCGGUGUCUACUCCGAGGUUGUACCUGCCGGAUCAAGUCUUCUAACCCGAGGCUUGCUCCUAGGAUUCUUCAGUAAUUCGACUUCUAAUUCUUGUAAGUUCUUGUUUUAUUGUUCUUUAGUUUAUGAGUUUACUUUAAUCCCUUCCGGUUGAGUAUUAGAGUAAUCAUUGCUAGCGUAAAUGUGGUGUUUAGGCUUCAGUACUCAUAGAUAUCCCCUGACUAGCUGGACUGUGGUAGUAGCGAGGAACGUUGUUGAUAUUUGGUAACGCAAUAAGGAAAAGAUCCGCAAGCACACGGAUAUCGGUGAGCAUUUCAACCGGGAGAUUUUCCAGAGUAUCGUAUUUAUAUUUUUACCACUGGGAGAAAGGGUGCAUCUGACUAACCAAAUCUAUUGCUACUACCCCUUUAGGCUACAAAGAAUGUUUCUCGAUGUGAGUGAUGUAUAGAGAAGACUGCAACCGUAGUCUCGUUCUAACCUUGGUAAGGAUGAUCUACUGUUCUAUUGGGGAGGCUCAUGGAAUCUAAACAACACAAAGGAUGUUCGAACCGCACCUAUAACCCUACCCGUCCUGCUAACAAGAUAUGGGAUACAAAGGUAACUCGGAAAUGUCACGUUCCUCGCUACUACCACGGUCCAGCUAGUCAGGGGAUAUCUAUGAGUACCCUAGCCUAAACACCACGUUUACGCCAGCAAUGAUUACUCUAAUACUCAACCGGAAGAGGAUUAAAGUAAACUCAUAAACCAAAGAACAAUAAAACAAGAACUUACUAGCAUUAGAAGUCGAAUUACUGAAGAAUCUUAGAAGCAAGCCUCGGGUUAGGAGACUUGAUCCCGCAGGUACAACUCGAAGUAGACACCGACAGGCUGGCCUUCCUCCGAUCUACACCUCCACUCUAUCUCUCUCAAUCUAGUAGAAACUAGAAGAUCUAUUUCUACUUACAUUGGUUGCUAAGCCUAAAAAGAAAUAUUAUUUAGAGAACAGGUUUUCCUUCGAAGGCACCCCUCAAUCUCUAUGAUAAUUUCUUGUCUUCUCCGGGGGCCAGGGGGGUCUGCUUAUAUAGUCCUCCUCCUCUUUGCAUUUUUGGUUCAGCAGGCGAUGUGGUACUAAACUUUCCACCAUAUCUCAUUAAAAUGCACAUAGGCCUUAAUGGACCAAAAUCUGAUUUGGGCCCACUUAACCCCGCAACUCUUUUAUGUGGAGUCCUUCUUUUAUUAAUAUCUUUUGAUUCCGAACUCCAAAUAUAGCAAAUAAUAUAUGCAUUUCGAUCAGCUCGACGAGAUCUUUGUAAUGGUGUACUCCAUUCUGUGAUUGGUGGAAACACCUGGGCGGGUGCCCAAGGGGAGAGGGCGGGCGCCCUGCCCCCGGGCCCGUUCGGCCUCCCGUUCGUUCCCGUGGUUUCUGGACUCUUCUAGAUGAUAGAAAAUUGCGCGGCAUGUUAAUAUCUCUAUGUAAACCCGACGUGUGGGCCUUUCCUUCAUAUUUCCUGAUAACCCCCUGCAGAAAUAGACAAACACCAAAACUCGUGGUAUUGUGUCAGAUAAAACCCUAAGUCUAGGUGUUGGUUGCAUUUGGAUCCUUUUCUUUAUUUAUUUGAUGAUUAUAUUUGGUACUUAAGGACCGUCAACAACUCCCCCAAGCUUACCUCUUGCUCGUCCCUGAGCAAGGAUGAACUCAAGAGUUUCUGCAGUGGUUUCAUGCCUUAAAAGUACACACGCAUUCAAGCAAGAUCUCAUCUCUGAGUUAGAAUGAAUUGUUAAGAUUUAAAACUUACUCAUUUUACCUUUCACCAUGGGGCUUGUAACCGUCACUUGUGUCUUGAGCAGUUAAAAGAUAGAACGGUCAAGUCAAGCGCCAUGUCUCUUAUUCUUGAUCAGCUAUAGCUCUAGAGUUUUUGUAGAUUUUCAAAUAAAACUCAGAGAUUCCUUAUAUGACUUCUCAAAACUCUCUUUUGUGGUAUUUCUGGAUCCUUACCAGGGCAGUAAUGAUAUAUGCCUUCUCUCAAAGUAUGUAGUAUUUGUGGUAUGAGGCAUAGUGAUAUUGCCUUCUCUCUCACCCUACUCUAAUAAGGUUUUGAUAUCUGGAGCUCAUAGGUGGGAGACAGCUAAUACAUACUUACAAGACAUUUAUUGCAUAGUCAAACCAUGGAUCCAGAGAAACAAGUCAAUAAGUCAAAUCAAGAUGUGCAUGUGUGGCGAGUGAAUGGUGUAUGGUGAUGAUGGUGAUAACAAUGGUGAAAGUCUAAUUCUACUCUUUGCUCUUUUUAGGGGAUACAUACCUUUCUUGCACUUUGAAGCUUUUUGAGGAGAAUGAGAUGCUCUAUAUUUUCUUUUUCUUUCCUCUCAGGUGGGUAUCUUGUACCCCUAAUUCUACUGGUGGACACUUGUCCAUUUUUACCUCUCGUCUCAUUUUUUCUUUUCUUCGAGGUUCCGGGCACUUGCCCCUUUUUGUUUCCUCGUAUUAUUAUUAUUAUUAUUAUUAUUAUUAUUAUUAUUAUUAUUAUUAUUCUCUUUUUUUUCUCUUUUUUAGAGCACUCAUCUCCUGAAAGAAUGUAGCAAGUGGUAGUAACCAAAAUAACUGGAGCAUUUAUUUCACAGGGAAUAACAGGGAUAGGAAAAUAUUUUUGGCUAUUCUCUCCUGGAUAGGAGUACAAUACUUUUGGGUGGUUUUGGAGAUGGAAAUGAGUGGAUAUAUGUGGAUGGUACUUCCGGAGUAGAAGUAGCAUGUAUGAGUGAACGUGCAAGUGAAUCUUGAUUUUAACCACAUGACAAGCUCCUAAGGGUCUACACAGCUUGACCACACUCAAUGCUCAUAAGCAGUAAAAAGUAAAUAUGUGGCUCAAAGUCUAGCAAGCAUGUAUAUAUGGCUGUGGUAGGAAUUUAAACUCUCAUCAUACAGGAACUCAUCAUGUGAUAUUUUAAAGAUUUUUCAAAGAUAAAAUUCUCCAGAAUUCUAGCAUUUCUAGGAACAGAUAAACAGCAGCUCAACCUUCCCAUAUCAUAUCCGUUAACAACUUAGACAUUAGAUCAAAUACUCUUACCACAAGUUCAGAUUUAGAGCAAAUCUUAAUUCAUAACAGUCAUGCCUAAACUUGAGAUAGAUUUUAAUUUUAAGAACUAGUCAUGGCAGAGCAACUAUUCAUCAUUUCCAUGUGAGAGUUUAUCAUGAGGGUUCAUAGCAAACUUUAUUUAUUUAUUUAUUUAGCAAACUAAGCAAAGAUAUAUAUAAAAGCACAAAAUAUUUAUUUGGGUUUUUUAUGAUUAUGCAUCUUUUAUUAUUUGAGUAAAGUAUAAACGCGAGUAGAAACACUUAGCUGGAUAAAUGGGGGUGCUCUCCCCCAAGCUAGAUUUUGACGUAAUUUCUUCUGAUGUAGCUAGCAGGUGAUGUAGGUGUAUUUGAAUGUCGGCAGCACCCUGACAGCGAUUAGGAUGUCCUCCGUCUGCUAGUCUUCUUUGAUCCUUGAAUUCUGUAGAGCUCAAAUAGACAACAAAGCUUUGUGGAACUGGUUAAGUGUUAGCAUAAAUAUCUAGCCUUUAUCAUGUUGAGCCUCCUCCUAAUAAAUUUUAUUUAUUUAGCAGGAUCAUGCACUUAUUAUUUUUAUAUUUUUAUUGUAAGAUGAAAACUUAUUUAUUUUAUUUUUAUGCCACCAAAGUGAAUGUACUUAUGGGUUUUAUGCCAUGAGCAUACUCACAUGGGGAUUACUUUUUUUUUAACAUUUUAUUUUCUUUUCAAGAUAGCAUGAACCUGAUUAACUAAGCAACCUAUAAUUGAAUAAUUGAAAGGAAAAGGAUAACUACCAAGUUUACCUCUUGGCAAGGCGUUCGGUGUUUUUAAGUCCUCCGAACGGGACUCCUUGUAUUUUCAGUCGUCCUGGGAUUCGCUAGGUGGCGUAGUCGGUGGUUCCGGCGGCGCCUCCUCUUCGUGUGUAACUAUCUUCUCUCUCCAUACCUGACUCGGUGCUACGGUCUCCUCAGGAUAGUUCUGUUCAAGGUAUAUGUCUUCAGACCUUAUCACUUCUCCUUCGUAGUCUACCCAUCCGUCCUUGAUGAUUUGCCUCCUCUGGUUGCGGUUGCGUUGUCUUCUUCUUGUCCUGACCUGCUUAGAAUCUUCAACUAUAUAGUUAAGGUCAGUAAAAUAGCUGCGUACCUUCUCAGAGGGGAAGUAUAUGUGGACUUCUCCGGUUCCAAUGUAGAUGAUUGCUUUGAUAGUGUUGAGGAACGGUCUUCCAAGGAUGGUGGGUGGAUCGUACUCGUCUUCUCCCAUGUCAAUGACCUGAAAAUCAUCUGGAGCUGAAUGUAUAUUGGUUGUAGAAGCAUGGUCCCAUGCAGGAGCUGAUAAGUGACUGCGGCCAUUAUGUUGACGUCAGAUCCGGUGUCGUAGAGUGUCUUCUAAAAAGAGUAUCUGUUGAUUGUGCACUCGAUGCUUGGAACACCAGGGUCGUCCUUCUUGAUCAAGAAAGGUGACUUGAGUCGACGAUCUUGAUCUCCUCCGACAAGGAUCCAAUGUUUUAUGUCUUCUGGACAAGACUUCUCACCGUCUUCAUCCUUUAGGUGCAUUAUUUGAUUAGGUGUGGACCUUGACGUCUGCACCUCUUGAUAUGGUGUCACCUAUAUUCUUUGAUUGCCCAGCAAUUCGAAGUGCGGUGUUGGCAAUAUCCUGCUCAGUGUGUUUGUGCUCAUAGAUCCAAGUCCUUCACUUGGUGGAGUCUAGGAGUUGUAAAACUCCUUCAUAUUAUGCUCAAAGUGUUCCUGCUCAUAGAGACAAGGCAGAGAUCAAGUGCAUCGGCCCUGUUGGUGGAAAACACCAACAGAACCAAAAGUGUAUUUGUUCUUCUCUAACCUUAAGCAUAGUGAGCAAGACAAAGUUGAUGGAUCAUGAGUGUAGCAUUUGAAACAUUUGUCAGAUCAGAUGGCUCAACCUAAUGGAAAGAUAGUCUAUCUAUAUUUAUGUUUUGUUUAUAUCUUCCAAAGAUUGAAUGUGCAACAUAUUAGCUUAUAUGAUUAGGAGUGUGGGAUCAUGAAGGUUGUACUACGAUUAAAGAUUAAAGGACUAAACAUGUUGAUUUAAUUGAGUUGAUUAAUUUGGAGCUACAAAUCAUACAUGUUUGUCUCUUUUAUUCAUGUGUAUGCCAGAACCA